CGGAAUAUUGGGCGUAAGAGCUCGUAGGCGGUUUGUCGCGUCUGCUGUGAAAGACCGGGGCUCAACUCCGGUUCUGCAGUGGGUACGGGCAGACUAGAGUGAUGUAGGGGAGACUGGAAUUCCUGGUGUAGCGGUGAAAUGCGCAGAUAUCAGGAGGAACACCGAUGGCGAAGGCAGGUCUCUGGGCAUUAACUGACGCUGAGGAGCGAAAGCAUGGGGAGCGAACAGGAUUAGAUACCCUGGUAGUCCAUGCCGUAAACGUUGGGCACUAGGUGUGGGGGACAUUCCACGUUUUCCGCGCCGUAGCUAACGCAUUAAGUGCCCCGC
This 327-nucleotide ribosomal RNA is filed under the name Arthrobacter ramosus. RNAcentral describes it as "bacterial SSU rRNA". It matches the Rfam family "Bacterial small subunit ribosomal RNA", at positions 546 to 872 of the family's 1533-position model. Lineage: Bacteria; Bacillati; Actinomycetota; Actinomycetes; Micrococcales; Micrococcaceae. The record is from RNAcentral.